AAUCCAGCGAUUUAAUCGUUGGCCUGCGGGGGAUACUGUCCGGCUUGGAGGCGAGAGAGGCCGACGGUAUUCUCGGGGUAGGGGUGAAAUCCUAUAAUCCCGGGAAGACCACCAGUGGCGAAGGCUGUCGGCUAGAACGCGCUCGACGGUGAGGGAUGAAAGCUGGGGGAGCGAACCGGAUUAGAUACCCGGGUAGUCCCAGCCGUAAACGAUGCAGGCUAGGUGUUAGUGCGGCUACGUGCCGCUCUAGUGCCGCAGGGAAACUGUUUAGCCUGCCGCCUGGGGAGUACGGCUGCAAGGCUGAAACUUAAAGGAAUUGGCGGGGGAGCACCACAAGGGGUGAAGCUUGCGGUUUAAUUGGAGUCAACGCCGGAAAUCUCACCGGGGGCGACAGCAGGGUGAAAGCCAGAUUAAAGGUCUUGCCAGACGAGCUGAGAGGAGGUGCAUGGCCGUCGCCAGUUCGUGCCGUGAGGUGUCCUGUUAAGUCAGGCAACGAUCGAGACCCGCAUCCCCCGUUGCUAUUGGUCUUGAACCAAGCACACUGGGGAGACUGCCGCCGACAAGGCGGAGGAAGGAGCGGGCCACGGCAGGUCAGUAUGCCCCGAAUCUCCCGGGCCACACGCGAGCUGCAAUGGCAGGUACAAUGGGAUCCGACCUCGAAAGGGGAAGGAAAUCUUUAAAGCCUGCCGUAGUUGGGAUCGAGGGUUGAACU
RNAcentral lists this ribosomal RNA (712 nucleotides) under uncultured crenarchaeote. RNAcentral's name for it is "bacterial SSU rRNA". It matches the Rfam family "Archaeal small subunit ribosomal RNA", at positions 548 to 1267 of the family's 1478-position model. Lineage: Archaea; Thermoproteati; Thermoproteota. The record is from RNAcentral.